AUCAUAAAGAUACGGAUCGGCAUGUUAGAAAGCGCAUCUAGUAAUGGUAUAUUUAUAUUAACGAAAAGCAACGAUUGAUACCUGACGUUGGCGUAUCAAAAACGAAGAUUAUAUAUUCUGUCUGUAUAUUGUUAACACUGUUAUAGAACGAUGUGAGGGCAAAAGAAGUAUGAAGCAAGACAAAUGAAAAUGAUCAUUUAGUUUAAAAAACGGAUUUGUAACGCAGUAUGAUCUUGAAUCUGCAACCUAUAAUACUACUAUAUUAUCGACAGACGAAAUAUGAGAAUAGACAAAUUACCUUAUGGACCUUCGUAGCCCAACGCGAAUGUCAUACCAACUUAGGAAUUUGAUACUAAUUUUAGCGUCUUUUAUUCACAAACGGCGGCCAUUUGAUAAAGUAUUUAUGAAAGAAGUAUUAGUGAGAACUAAACAACAGUCAUGUGUAAAUGCAUGUGUGCCGAUAGAGAGGGGAGACGUUUGAUAGGCAAUUGCGUGCUAGAUGGAGUCACGAUAUGUAUCGCGCAAAUAUUAUAUAAGACACACACAAAUAAAGAAAUAGACGAGUGAACAAAGCUACAGCGGUUUUUACUAGUAAACUAAAUAAUUUCAAAAUCAUAAAAUAUCUUUAAAAGUUUCUUUUACAGAUACACCAUGCAUAUAUGUAUUUCAACAAAGUAAGUUUAUCGACCACAUGUUUAUAACUUGCGUUGCAUCUCGCUGUUUACAGAAAAAUCAGAGUUUAAUAAUUCACGUGAGGCAUAUAUCGAUAAAGAAGAUUUCUGUAAUUGUUACACAUGUUUUCAUGUUGCAUUAUAGUGAUUUUAUUUUUAUCUUAAAUCGUAAUAAUGUUUGGAUAUAUAAAUAUGUAGUUUUACAAAAUCAGGUAGAUUCUUUUUAUGGAAAUAUAUUUGUUUAUAAUUUUGUCAUAGAAGAAAAUUUGGGAAUCUUUCCCUAAUUUCUUAUAUCGUUAUUUUUCUCAGUUAAUUCAAUCAUGGUAGUUUACUUUCAGCUAGAUGGACUACAAACCUACAAACAAGUGGCUAUGAUUGUUAUUAAUAUAGAAAGAGGACAUUUUAAAUGUCUUUCUUUCAUGUUAAUUCCAUUACCACUAUACGUACAUAUAGAAUGAUAAAAACAAUAAUAAUAGAUAAUUAUAACAAACAUACGUACUUGGUAAUAUUAACAGAAUUGGCCAUGUGAAGCCAUGAAAGAAGAACUUACCAAUUCCACUUUGAAAACUUCCACCACCUUCAGAUUCGCAUCUGGCAUAGGCAAAACAGGUUCGUUAAUGUUAAAUAGAAGAAGGUUGAACUUGUUGAACCUUUUUCUCUUCUGAAUUUUCAUAUACAGUUUUUCGUAUUUACAUGUCUCCACAAAAGACGAAGCCGACAAUAGUUUAAAUUCCAGUAUCGGAACUCUCAGAACAGUUCAGUAAAUAGAAAUAUUAUCUAAUUUUGCGACUGCUGAGUCUUUGAUUUCCUUGAUUCAUUCUUAUGGUGAAGAGAUCAAGUUUAGUAUUAAUCUCGGAUAAAGCAGCAUGAGGAGAGGCCUGUAGACGAUCGAAUAAUGAUGAUAAAGAAUUGUCAUCCGAUCCGUGCAAAUCUGAGGAUGUUGAGGUUGAAUCAGAGCAGUUUAUGAGUGUGUCGGUGGACUAAGAGUGACCAGAUCUCAUCAAGCAUAAAGAGCGUGCAUAGAAACUAAUUCCACAAGAUACACAAGUCACAGGUUUGUCACUAUCACUAAUCCACAAUCUAAUACAGCAAUCGUUAUAGGUGUAAUAGAGUUCAAUAGGACACUUAUUCACAAGAAUAUAAAACAGUCCGAGAAAACUAGGUUGGUAACAGUAGAAUACACAGAGCAAAACAAGACACGGCUUAGCACAGCAAUUACGAAGUAGUCUUAACACGUCACCUCGCAAGGUCAGCAUUUGUUUGCUUAAUCGCUUCAACUCAGCUUAAAAACUAAGUCGCGAGAUAGUUUUUCAUAUAACUCGUAAACUAAGACCGACCGCCGGUUAUAUGCUCAGGAAAAAAUUGUUCAAAAUGUUGAGACUUACAAGAUACUACAUAUUUAACAUUAAAAUUGUAAAGGGCGUUACAUUGACAGAUUCACCAAUUAAGCGUGAUAGCCAAAUACCGAGUUCUUCACGAUUUUGAAUACUACAAACUGUGAAUCGACAUUAACUAUACAAUAGUUAUAAAAUUUUUUUUUUAUUUAUUUAUUUAAAUUUUACAAUUUGUCCAGACAUUUGGUAAAGUAUUAUAGCGGUAUACUAAUAUAUCAUGUGGGUGGCUACCCCCAGUGGGGUACCAUCAUCGUGUUUGUUAGGUUAUGUCCUUUGUGAGAUCUGUUGGGCGAAUAACUAUAAAAUUUUUUUUUUAUUAUUUAUUUAUUUAAAUUUUACAAUUUGUCCAGUAGGACAUUUGGUAAAGUAUUAUAGCGGUAUACUAAUAUAUCAUGUGGGUGGCUACCCCCAGCGGGGUACCAUCAUCGUGUUUGUUAGGCUAUGUCCUUUGUGAGAUCUGUUGGGUGAAUAACUAUAAAAUGAUGCUAUAAUAUUAUGAAUAAUAAAUUGACACAAUAUAUAAUUCUAUAUUCCAGAAUUUAAAACGUAAUAGUUCAAUAAACGAUUCGCUUAAAGUUAUUCACAUUCACAUUUUACAAAAUUUCAUUUACGUCGAGUAAUAUUAACGUUUCCAUAGACUAGGCAUGUUGUGUUUAAUAAUAACAAAAUAUAGUGUUGCAGAACAUUUAUUAUUGUUAUAAUAAUGUAGAAGUGCACAAUGUGCCAUCUCAGACGUGAAUCUUUUAUAUAUGUAUAUAUAUAUGUAUGUAUUUAUUAGUUACAGUGUCAAGGUCACGGAAUGUCCAGUCAACUAUCCAGUCAACUAUCUUCUCGUCAUUCCUGUCACAUAAUACGUUUUCUAUAUUACACUUCUCUUUCCUCUUUCUAUUUAUAAUCUUACUGUUCUCAGAUAAUACGUACCUCUGCUAGCAAUUUCCUAGUCAAUACCUGUUAAAAUUUCUUAAAUUCCUACAUCUGGUCCUAGCAAUUAACUUCUGACUGCUUUUGUUCUCACUUCUCAGGUACUCCAAUAUAGUACUGUAGAUCUGUAUAUUAUACUAUAGCAUCUUACAGGCCAAUGCCAUUAAUUCCUGCGUUUUCCAAAAUUCUAGAGAAAAUAAUAUACGACCGUCUAAAACCAACAAUAGGGAAAGAAAAUUGAAAAUAUCCAAUUGAACGGUACUCACAUAACACAAACAAGGCAAGUUAAAUACCGAGUACUUCACUUAACAUACAACUUACAUGGGAGCAACAUACAUAGGAAAUAAAUUACAAAUAUACAAAACGAUAAUAAAAUAAAUUUGGACGUACG
Molecule: long non-coding RNA, 3377 nt
Organism: Bombus huntii
Lineage: Eukaryota; Metazoa; Arthropoda; Insecta; Hymenoptera; Apidae
Exons: 3
Source: RefSeq, a predicted model, not a curated record